RNAcentral lists this ribosomal RNA (648 nucleotides) under bacterium YG-84. RNAcentral's name for it is "bacterial SSU rRNA". It matches the Rfam family "Bacterial small subunit ribosomal RNA", at positions 791 to 1439 of the family's 1533-position model. The record is from RNAcentral.
UAGUCCACGCUGUAAACGAUGUCGACUUGGAGGUUGUUCCCUUGAGGAGUGGCUUCCGGAGCUAACGCGUUAAGUCGACCGCCUGGGGAGUACGGCCGCAAGGUUAAAACUCAAAUGAAUUGACGGGGGCCCGCACAAGCGGUGGAGCAUGUGGUUUAAUUCGAUGCAACGCGAAGAACCUUACCUACUCUUGACAUCCAGAGAACUUAGCAGAGAUGCUUUGGUGCCUUCGGGAACUCUGAGACAGGUGCUGCAUGGCUGUCGUCAGCUCGUGUUGUGAAAUGUUGGGUUAAGUCCCGCAACGAGCGCAACCCUUAUCCUUUGUUGCCAGCGGUUCGGUCGGGAACUCAAAGGAGACUGCCAGUGAUAAACUGGAGGAAGGUGGGGAUGACGUCAAGUCAUCAUGGCCCUUACGAGUAGGGCUACACACGUGCUACAAUGGCAUAUACAAAGAGAAGCGACCUCGCGAGAGCAAGCGGACCUCAUAAAGUAUGUCGUAGUCCGGAUUGGAGUCUGCAACUCGACUCCAUGAAGUCGGAAUCGCUAGUAAUCGUAGAUCAGAAUGCUACGGUGAAUACGUUCCCGGGCCUUGUACACACCGCCCGUCACACCAUGGGAGUGGGUUGCAAAAGAAGUAGGUAGCUUAAC